UCAGUAUCUGACGGUAGGAUGGCAACGCGGAGAACUAAAGAUGCUCGAAAUGUGCUUUUGCCACGACCAUUCUGAUGCAAGGGAGAUCAUGCGUGGUUGAUGCCCUCGUCGGCUCGUGGUUGAGUGCGCGAGAGUGGUACCCACAACGGCGACGCGUAUCCAACCGCAAGGUUAUAAACAGCUGCUGAGAGGCUCAUGUGCUCAUCUGAUCAGAAGGAGGCUAAGUUCGAACACUUCAGGCUAGUCUAGCAGUUAUAUACAUAGAAGCAGAGCAUAUACCAGUGAUAAAUCAAUCAGCUGCGAGCUGAGUGAGCUGUGAAGUGUGGUGAACAUCGAUCAACCGAAGAUGGUGUCUAUGGGAGCUGCCGGUAGCACGGCGUGGCGGGCGCCGGCGCCGGUGAGGCAGCUGUUCUGGAGGAUGAGGUCCAGCUGGAAGAACACCCUGAUGCGGCGGCCGAGGGGCGGUGCCCCGAGGUUCGGCUAUGACCUGCAAAGCUACUCCCUGAACUUCGACGACGGCCACCUCGGCUCGGCUGCCUAGCUAAUGACUAUCGAUCGCUCUAGCUAGUCCCAUGUAAAUAAUUUUAAUUUUCUUUCCGUCACCCGGCCAUGGCUUCAAAAGUUGGGGAGCUGGAAGCGCCGCCACCACUUUCCAAUUUGCUCAUCUAGCUAGUUGAUGGCCUGAUGCCUAUCCAUAAGUAUUAUGCAUUUUUGUGCAUCUUGCUCGUUGUUCAGUAAAUGCUAUAAGUAUUGACUACUCGAUCACUAGUUGAAAGUUAAUAGAAUGGAAUGGCUCAUGUAUA
Non-coding RNA from Lolium perenne, 803 nucleotides. The record is from RefSeq and is a predicted model, not a curated record. NCBI's taxonomy places the organism in Eukaryota, Viridiplantae, Streptophyta, Magnoliopsida, Poales, Poaceae.